UAUUUUCAUGCUAUUUUUAUGAUUGCGUGAAGACAAUAAUUAUUUGAAAUGUCUUAAAAAGGAAACGUAACUAUAUUAGAAAUACAAUUAUCUCACCAAAUAUUGAUGAAAAUAUAUGUCAAGGGCACCCCGCAUUAUCUCCUACUUUCCAUCAAAUUACCAGUUACUUUUUUCUUGGUUUCCCAUCCGUUAUCCGGUACCUGCAUUGAAGCCCCGACUAAUCUAGAUAGCGUGUUGCAGGGCCCAUUAAGGUGGCAGCGCUCCCAACAAAGUUUUCUUCAUACUCAUAGUCGAACCCUCGACCUUUGAUUAAGGGUGGAGCAGCCCCAUCCACUGCACCAUAACCCAUGUUGGUAAAUACUUUUACUAUUUACUUCCUCCAUUGAGAAUUUCUCACUUAUUUUUUAAUUAAAUUUUUACUUUUACUUAUCAUUAUAAAUAUACUAAAAAAGAAUAAUUUGAUUUCUUAUAUUUUCUCCAUUUGAAUUUAUUUGUUAUAUUUUCUUUUUAGUAUGGUUUUUUGAAAAAUGUCUCUUUUCUUUUUUUUUUUUGACAACUCUUUAGGUCUAACUUUUCGAGUGACAUGAUUAAGACCAGGGGCCGCUCAACGAGAUUGAUGCCUAAAGCCAACUUUAAUUUUAACAAGGGACCUUAUUUCUUUUAAAAAAAUAUAUAAUAUAUACUUUUAUUAAGUAGUAAUUUUUUUUAGUUAAAAUUAUUAAUAAUCUUCUUAUAAGACAUUAUUGAUCUUAACCUUAGACAAUAGAAUAUGAUUUAAGAUGUUGAUAACUAUUAAAAUUAUUUUUUUGAUCAUUCAGUAUACUUGUUGCAAUGCUUGAAAUCUGAGGAGGAAAAAAGUAAAAAUCAAUGUCCUUAGCUGAAGGUCUUGAGUUCGAAUCUCCAAAUGUAAAAACAAUCUUGCUAGGAAGAAUUUCGUUCUUCAAUCGAUCUUGUAUGACGCAAAUUUAAAUUAAUUAAAAAUUUUAAUACAAAAAUCAAACGCCAAAUGAAAAAAGAAAAAAUUACAUAGACUAGCAACCUUAAGACAUUAAUUACAAGUAGUAGCAGUAGUUUAUCAAAAUUACAACUACUAGCAAAAGUAGCAAUAUUUUACCUCUUUUUUUAACUGGCGCGUGUAUUCCACCCAAUUAAUUUCACUUUACUAUUUUCACGCUACUUUAUCUCUUUUAACCCUACUUUCACCCCACUCUAAAUAUUUUCUAUUCCCUUCAAUAUCAAUCUUCCGCUAUUUUUUCUUCAAAAUCCGUAGUUUUCUCUCUAAAGUUUGAUAAUUCUUCGUUCCAAUUAUAAAGGUAAGUUGAUUUUUACAGUUAAUGCAUGUUAUAUUUUUCAUAUAAUUUUUUUUUCGUCAUUAUUUUUGUAUUUUUUCUGCGUUUUCAAUUUGGGGUUUAGGGUUUUGGGGUUUAAUUUUUGUGUGUUGAAUUUUUUUUUAUUUUUUCUAUAAUGGCAAAACAUACGAUAUAUGAAUUUUGAUGAAAUACCAUCUUUUUGUUUUCUUUUACCUACACAGUAGUAGUAGUUUAUUCAGAUCUCAAGAUUUUAUUUUUCUUUUACCUACACAAAAUUAUUUAUUUCUCUUUUUAUUUUGGGAUAUGAAAUUUACAUGAAAGUGAUUUUUUGAAUUUUUUUUUUCGUGUUGUAUUUUUUGGAUUUUCGCGAUAAUAACCGAACAUGCAAAUAGUAAUAGUUAAGUUAGAGGUAUUCAAUCGUUGAAUUUAGUUUUCGAUGAAAUUUCUUCGUUUAAUCUUGAUGUAACACAAGAUGAAGAUGUUAACUUGUGUUCUACUAGCAUUGAAGAGUUGAGAUGAAGCAGCGUAGCGAUCUUGUAAAGACCGUGAAAAUCAUGAAAUGAAAAGCAUUGACAAAAUCUUAAUCCCAAAAAUCUACAGAAAUUUAAAAAUCAGUGAAAAAAAAAGUCGGAUGAAAAAGCAGAAUCCAAUAAAAUUGCAUUUCUGAUUCAUCUGAUUUUGAAUCUGAAGAAGUGAAAGUGAAGGAGGUAUUUUGAUAUGCGUAAAGUUUUAGAAUUUCUGAAAAAAAUGUUCAUAUAUGUAUUUUAUAUAUACAUUUUAUAAGGUGUUUAUUUUUUUAGUUUUGUUGCUAAUGUGUUGAUAUGCAUCUGUUAUAUCUAAGAUUUUCGAUUUGUAUGUAUAAGAUAUUUGUAUUUGUUACUGAUAAGGUUUGUAAAAAGAAGAGAGUCGAUUGAAAAAGGAGAAUGUAGUAAAAUUUCAAGUCCCGUUGCAUCAAAUUAUGAAUCUGAACAAGAGAAAGUGGAGGAGGUAUGGUGAUAUUCGAAAAUUUUAUUAUUGAUAUGAAUUGUAUAUGUUAUAUACAAUAUAUUUUAAAUAUGUAUUUGAUAUUUAAAAUUUGUGUAUGAUAUUUGUAUUUGUCACUGGUAAGGAUUUUAUAGAUGUAUUGUUAUAUAAGUGUAAUAUGUUUUCUGAAAAUACAUUUGUUGGAUUCGAUUUUAAGUUGUAUUUGAUAGUCAUUAUAUUUUGAAUGUGAUAUGUAGCUCUUGUUUGUUGAAAUAUAUUUUUUACACACAUGAGACCAUUCCAAUGAGCAUAUGUAAUUCUAAAAUGCAUAUGACAUUUGUAUAAGAUAUUGUACUUAUCACUGACAAGGUUUUGUAUAUAUAUUUUUUAUUUAGAAGUGUAAUAUGUAUUCUGAAAAUACAUUUGUUAUAUAAUUUGUAUAUGUGUUGUUAUAUUUUUUUCUUGUUAAUUAAAUUUGUACAAUUCAUGUAUUCACAAAAUACGUAUGUGUUUGUUGAAAUAUAAUUGUAAUAUGUAUUCUGAAAAGACAUACAGUUUGGAUAUAUGUUUUUAUAUUUAUCACUAAGAAUUGUAUUUGAUGUUAAGUUAUAUUUGGUAGUCAUUAGAUUUUUAAUGUGAUAUCUAGUUCUUGUUUAUUGAAAUGUAUUUUUUACAUACAUAUUUAUAUUUGUUAUUCAUCAAGUACAAAAAACUUUUGCAUUAAAAAUGUUUUGAUAACUUAGAUAUUGACUGGUUAUGUAUUCACAAAAUACAUAUGAUACAUUUAUGAAUAGACUGUAUAAACUAAAUAUAAGAUGUAUUUCAUAAAUAUAUAUAAGACUCUGUUUGUAUAAAUUAAUUUUAAGAUGUAUUUCACAAAUAUAUAUAAGUCACUAUUUUGUCAUAUAAUUGUAUGUUUUUUGUUGUAUAGAUCAUGCGUGAUCAAAUCUACAUGGCACGAGUAUUGCUCAAAUUUGCUCUUCAUAUAGGAUGUCAUACGGUCAAAGACAUUGAAGACCGUAUUAAGUCAGUGCUAACGAAGAAUCAGUACAAGAUGUUUUGUACUAGAAGUAUAUUUGAUUUCUUCAUGUAGAAGAAAGAUUGUGUCGUUUAAACGCAAUUAGGGAGAUGCAUUAUGUCACUUGAAACUAAGAAAAGUUCUACAAGUGCCAUAGUCAUUCGUGCAAAGGGCACAAUUCUUCAUUUCACUUCUAGAGAGUUUUCUUUGGUGACUGAUUUGAAUUGUGUUACAAACAAGAAUGAUUUUGCAGGAAUUGUGGUUUAUAUAUGGUAAAAAUAUGCUGAGUGCCUUACUUUUGGUGACUGUGUUUCAAAUAUUGACUUUGAUCCAGAUUUUUUUCGCACAAGAUAUGUUUUAGUGUUGUGAAAUUAUGCUUUGAGAAAAGAAAAUGAGAAGGUUGAAAGUGAUGAUGAAGCACCAAUGAGGCCUCCUAGGGAUAUUGGGAUAACAGAAGAUACUGAAGUGUGUGAUAUUUGAAGUUUAUUUGUAUUUAUUGUAUUUGACUACAUUGAACUUUAGGAGGAUUAAGAUAGAGUUGAAAGAUGAUAUCUUAAUAUUUUUUAUGUGAUUGUUAGAUUUUUUAUCGUUAUUCUUCUAAAAUAGAAUUGUUCGAUCUUACUUUAUGUUAUUGUUACGCAUAUUUUGGUAUGAAUAUGUGAUUUUCAGUUUUGAUUAUAAUUUUCAGUAAUGAAUAUAUAUGUUUCAGUCAUCAUAUGUAUUUUUCAAUAAUGUAUUUGUAUUUUUCAU
This 4041-nucleotide long non-coding RNA is filed under the name Capsicum annuum. RNAcentral's name for it is "long non-coding RNA (CANN_LNC014883)". The record is from RNAcentral. Lineage: Eukaryota; Viridiplantae; Streptophyta; Magnoliopsida; Solanales; Solanaceae.